Molecule: ribosomal RNA, 243 nt
Filed under: Triticum aestivum (bread wheat)
Lineage: Eukaryota; Viridiplantae; Streptophyta; Magnoliopsida; Poales; Poaceae
Description: partial small subunit ribosomal RNA
Source: RNAcentral
AUGGGAGGAGAGGAGGAGGUUGCACAGCCGCCUGACCAUGGCGACAAGUCGUCGUGGCCGGAACUGGUUGGAAGCUGGUACAUGGACGCAGCAUUCACGAUCGCGCACGAAAGGCCAGGAGUCUCCGUCCACUUCUACGAUUUCGACUGGACCGGCCCGCCGCCGGCAGGGUUCGACCCCAAGCGCGUGGCCCUCUUCUCCGACGCCCAUAAGGUCGUCGCCCAAGUUCCCAAGAUCGGCUAG